RNAcentral lists this unclassified non-coding RNA (284 nucleotides) under Boletaceae sp. RNAcentral's name for it is "partial contains 5.8S ribosomal RNA, internal transcribed spacer 2, and large subunit ribosomal RNA". Lineage: Eukaryota; Fungi; Basidiomycota; Agaricomycetes; Boletales; Boletaceae. The record is from RNAcentral.
CGCACCUUGCGCUCCUUGGUAUUCCGAGGAGCAUGCCUGUUUGAGUGUCAUUUAAUCAUCAAUCUGCAACUUUGCUGUUGUUGUAUUGGACUUGGGGACUUGCUGGUUCUAAUCAGGAUUGGCUUCCCUCAAAUGCAUUAGCUGGAGUAAUACAAGCAGCGUAUAUGCGGUGUGAUAAUAUCUUCACUGUGUUGCUCUUGUUGAGUCUAGCUUCUAAUCGUCCUUCAGUUGGACAGCUUUGACAAUUUGACCUCAAAUCAGGUAGGACUACCCGCUGAACUUAA